This 349-nucleotide unclassified non-coding RNA is filed under the name soil metagenome. RNAcentral describes it as "partial contains 5.8S ribosomal RNA, internal transcribed spacer 2, and large subunit ribosomal RNA". The stretch from base 1 to 120 matches the Rfam family "5.8S ribosomal RNA", at positions 35 to 154 of the family's 154-position model. The record is from RNAcentral.
GAUGAAGAACGUAGCGAAAUGCGAUAAGUAAUGUGAAUUGCAGAAUUCAGUGAAUCAUCGAGUCUUUGAACGCACAUUGCGCCCCCUGGCAUUCCGGGGGGCAUGCCUGUCCGAGCGUCAUUGCUGCCCUUCAAGCCCGGCUUGUGUGUUGGGUCGUCGUCCCCCCCGGGGGACGGGCCCGAAAGGCAGCGGCGGCACCGCGUCCGGUCCUCGAGCGUAUGGGGCUUUGUCACCCGCUCGAUUAGGGCCGGCCGGGCGCCAGCCGGCGUCUCCAACCUUCUAUUUUACCAGGUUGACCUCGGAUCAGGUAGGGAUACCCGCUGAACUUAAGCAUAUCAAUAACGGAGGA